AGCAGCCGCGGUAAUUCCAGCUCCAAUAGCGUAUAUUAAAGUUGUUGCAGUUAAAAAGCUCGUAGUUGAAUUUCGGAAUCAAGGUGCCGGUCAUGCUUUUUGUAUGUACUGACAUCAUUGAUUUCUCCCUUCUGACGAACCAUGAUGUCAUUAAUUUGGUGUCAUAGGGAAUCAGGACUGUUACUUUGAAAAAAUUAGAGUGUUUAAAGCAAGCUCACGCUUGAAUACAUUAGCAUGGAAUAAUGAAAUAGGACGUUUGAUCCUAUUUUGUUGGUUUCUAGGAUCGACGUAAUGAUUAAUAGGGAUAGUUGGGGGCAUUAGUAUUCAAUUGUCAGAGGUGAAAUUCUUGGAUUUAUUGAAGACUAACUACUGCGAAAGCAUUUGCCAAGGAUGUUUUCAUUAAUCAAGAACGAAAGUUAGGGGAUCGAAGACGAUCAGAUACCGUCGUAGUCUUAACCAUAAACUAAUGCCGACUAGGGAUCGGAUGAUGUUAAUUUUUUAAAUGACU
RNAcentral lists this ribosomal RNA (508 nucleotides) under uncultured Glomus. RNAcentral's name for it is "SSU rRNA". It matches the Rfam family "Eukaryotic small subunit ribosomal RNA", at positions 569 to 1080 of the family's 1831-position model. The record is from RNAcentral. Lineage: Eukaryota; Fungi; Glomeromycota; Glomeromycetes; Glomerales; Glomeraceae.